CUGCGGGCCCUGUGAAGCCACACAUCCGCAAAUUGUUUAUUUCUGUUUUACUUGUCGUUCAUUUCUGCUCAAAAUUCGAAAUGUCAUUUAUUGGAAGAGGGUUGGUUUCUGUCAUGAGAAAUGCACCAAAUAGACUUCGUGCCAAUCAAAACAGGGUUUGUCUGCGCACUGUGGUACGACAUAGAACCACAAAUGAUAACGGCGGUUUGCUGUCUGCCCCAUUUUCAAUGCGGUUUGGAUUGCCCAAGGUUGUUGCUGUGGUAGUCCCAUUCCUUUAUUUUGGUGCGACAAUCAGCAAGGAAGGGGCUGCUUUCCUGGAGGAGUAUGAUAUCUUUGUUCCUGAGGAUGAUGACUAGAGUGCUUUCUGUGCAAGAACUUUUGCAAUUUCACAGACCUCUGUCCUGACGUUAGAGUGAGUUAAGAUGGGACACGGUAGCACUUGGUAGAUAGAACAUCAAUCUGCAAUACCUAGAAGUCUAAAUCUCAUUACUGUUAGUAUUUAUGGGUAUGGCAAGGUCUUAUUGGAAAGUUUUUUUAAAUUGAACAUUAUGUGAAUAUAGAAAUGUUAUUUAUAUGCAAAUAUAUACAACCUUAAAUCUUUCUAACAACUUGAUCUUAAUGAUUUAUUAAUAGUAUUUGGUAGAGAGACUGUAUGAGUUAGAACUUGCUGUAGAAUUAUUAACUAUCACAAACGUCAAAAAAAUGAGCUAUAGAGGAAAUUUAAUAAGUAGUUAUAUGCUUGUACUUCUAGAUAUAAUGUACUAAUUAUGUAACAGGCCAUUAAAGUGACUGCAUAUUUCAGCUAAUCCUCAUCUUAAAUGACAUUAAAUGUGGUUUAUUGAAUAUGUUGAUGAUUGUGUUAUGCUGUUAACAUGAGAGGAAAUGUUAAGAAAAUAUCAUACCGGUACUGAAUAAUCCAUGAGAAACUUAGAUAUUCUUUAUUAGAGCCUAUAUACUGACUUGAUAAUAUGCUGUUACUAGCCAGGAAUUGAGUUUAGGGUGAACCUAUCUCUUAUCACUGGUCUUAGCCCUAAUCUAACUCAAAAUUGGGCCAAAAUACUGAAGUGAUUAUGAUAUAUGUUUGAAGUCUUGUAGAAACACAUAUGAAAUGACUUACUAAAAAGAAACUAGCACCAUUAUUUUUAUGAUAGCACAAACUGAAAAAAUAAAAUAUGCAUAUUAAUAAUUGGGGAAAAAGACACCCAACUUAGUUCCAGGGUGUGCUGUAAUUGUAAAUCAAGUUUUUUAAGAAAUCAAAAUUCACCAACAAAAAUGUCCCUUUUCCUGAAUGAUUAUAAAACAAGACUUUUUUGAGGGAGUGCACGUUAUUGACAGUAUGAUAUAAAAUAUUCCUUCACAGAAGUUGUUAAUAAUGGUUGAAGUGCUUAGAUAAACACUCACUAGAUUUAGAUACAUGUAAUUUGGUAUUUUGUUAUAUAUAUGUACUGCUGAUUGAGCAUGUCUACAAAUUCCAUCUCUAAUUGUAUAAGAAUAUUUCAGGUAACGGUAUCACUAAUUUAAGGGUAACUAAUAGAAUAUUAAACCAGGAUUUAUUAUAAGUACACUACUAAACGGGUGAUCCCUCACUAAACAGAUAUAACCGUCUCAGCCAGACAUACUCUCAAUGAAACAUGCAUUGAUACAAGAGACUGAAGCUUUCAAUUGAAUAAAACAUAUUUAGAUAUUUCUCAACCAUUGUACUAUAUAAGUAAAUGUAAUUUUGUCAUACAUUUUUUAAUGCAAUUGAUAAUGUUACACUGCAAUGUGAAACGCUAUUGAGAAUUUGUGAAUGGUGUGCAAUUCAGCUUUUGGCUGCAAAGCAUUGACAGGAUUCAGUUAAAAGAAUAUUGACAAUAGAUAAUAAAACAAGGUACACGUAUUGAAUCAAAUUUGAA
This is an RNA transcript of Strongylocentrotus purpuratus (purple sea urchin), 1895 nucleotides long. RefSeq lists it as uncharacterized. The record is from RefSeq and is a predicted model, not a curated record. NCBI's taxonomy places the organism in Eukaryota, Metazoa, Echinodermata, Echinoidea, Camarodonta, Strongylocentrotidae. The transcript is spliced from 3 exons.